RNAcentral lists this ribosomal RNA (557 nucleotides) under uncultured bacterium. RNAcentral describes it as "bacterial SSU rRNA". It matches the Rfam family "Bacterial small subunit ribosomal RNA", at positions 102 to 694 of the family's 1533-position model. The record is from RNAcentral.
ACGGGUGAGUGACGCGUGGGAAUCUACCGUACCCUACGGAAUAGCUCUGGGAAACUGGAAGUAAUACCGUAUACGCCCUUCGGGGGAAAGAUUUAUCGGGGUAUGAUGAGCCCGCGUUGGAUUAGCUAGUUGGUGGGGUAAAGGCCUACCAAGGCGACGAUCCAUAGCUGGUCUGAGAGGAUGAUCAGCCACAUUGGGACUGAGACACGGCCCAAACUCCUACGGGAGGCAGCAGUGGGGAAUAUUGGACAAUGGGCGCAAGCCUGAUCCAGCCAUGCCGCGUGAGUGAUGAAGGUCUUAGGAUUGUAAAGCUCUUUCACCGGAGAAGAUAAUGACGGUAUCCGGAGAAGAAGCCCCGGCUAACUUCGUGCCAGCAGCCGCGGUAAUACGAAGGGGGCUAGCGUUGUUCGGAAUUACUGGGCGUAAAGCGCACGUAGGCGGGUAUUUAAGUCAGGGGUGAAAUCCCAGAGCUCAACUCUGGAACUGCCUUUGAUACUGGGUAUCUUGAGUAUGGAAGAGGUAAGUGGAAUUGCGAGUGUAGAGGUGAAAUUCGUAGA